This 260-nucleotide ribosomal RNA is filed under the name uncultured archaeon. RNAcentral's name for it is "partial 16S ribosomal RNA". It matches the Rfam family "Archaeal small subunit ribosomal RNA", at positions 748 to 1008 of the family's 1478-position model. The record is from RNAcentral.
CAGCCGUAAACUAUGCGCGUUAGGUGUAUCGGUGACCACGAGUUACCGAGGUGCCGAAGGGAAACCGUGAAACGUGCCGCCUGGGAAGUACGGUCGCAAGGCUGAAACUUAAAGGAAUUGGCGGGGGAGCACCACAACAGGUGGAGCCUGCGGUUUAAUUGGACUCAACACCGGGAAGCUCACCGGAUAGGACAGCAGAAUGAUUGCCGGGCUGAAGACCCUGCAUGACUAGCUGAGAGGAGGUGCAUGGCGUAGACUCU